Thamnophis elegans (Western terrestrial garter snake) is the source of this 983-nucleotide long non-coding RNA. RefSeq lists it as uncharacterized. Lineage: Eukaryota; Metazoa; Chordata; Lepidosauria; Squamata; Natricidae. The record is from RefSeq and is a predicted model, not a curated record. The transcript is spliced from 2 exons.
CAUAGUUUUCAAUGCACUUUGGUAGAUUGCACCAGUGUGUUGUGUGAUGGCUGCGAUCAUAUCCAGAAGAAGAUGUAGACUGGAAUCUGCAUAAGACAUCUGUGUUUUGCAGCAGGGAUACAGCAGCUCUAGUCUAUAGUCAUGACUGCAAGUCUUCACCAAUACAGAUUGCUAUGAAACUGGUCCCUCAAAGGUGGAAAUUCUGAAGAUAAAAAAAAAUCAUAUCAAAGGGCUUUGGGAAUUUUGGCAGAUCGUGUUCAUCUCCCCUCUGCAGUUUACCAGAAGCUUUGGGAACUCUUCUCCCUACUUCUCCUCAUUGCAAAGGUUACUGUUGUAAUGAAAAUAGAAGCAAGCAAAAAUUUUUAAUAAAUAAAUAAAUACAGAAUAUCUGUAACUGUGCAAGAGAAUAUACUAAUCAUAGCAGUGAAAGAUACUCUUACACAUAAAAAGAGAUCCACAUAUCCAAAUAUAGGGCUGACCUAUAUUUACUCAUGCUAAAGAAGCCUUGUCUACUCCAGGUAGUUGCCAAGAGAAAAAAGUGACUCAAAAGCACAAAAAUAAACCAAACCAAACAAAAAAGAAAUGUUACCACUAUUGAGUUUGGAAAUGUAUAGAAUAGACUUUCCCAACUUGAUUCAUUCCUGAUGUUAUAAAUGCAGAAUGUUAACUCUGAGAGUAGCAGUUCCAAUAUACAGAAGGUAUAUAGCCGAGAAUGAGGAAAUAUACUACAUAAAUAUCAGAGGUCCAUUUAUUUUGGGAUUGUGCUUAAUAGGUAAUUACAAAGCCUUCAUUUUUUUCCUCUCUCAAGACAUUAAGCUAUAAAACUUUUCAUUAGCCUUCCACAGAGAAUUUUUCUUUUAGCUGUCUCUAGACCUAGUGUGGCUGUGUGACAAAUAGGUUUUGUAUGCAUGUGCUCUCUCUCACAUACUCUUCAUGUCAUCUUAAAGCAGCCUCCAAUUCUCCUUAAUUAAUCUAGAUAUAGG